AGUGAACGCUGGCGGUAGGCCUAACACAUGCAAGUCGAACGGCAGCACAGUAAGAGCUUGCUCUUACGGGUGGCGAGUGGCGGACGGGUGAGGAAUACAUCGGAAUCUACUUUUUCGGGGGGGAUAACGUAGGGAAACUUACGCUAAUACCGCAUACGACCUACGGGGGAAAGCAGGGGAUCGUCGGACCUUGCGCGAUUGAAUGAGCCGAUGUCGGAUUAGCUAGUUGGCGGGGUAAAGGCCCACCAAGGGGACGAUCCGUAGCCGGUCUGAGAGGAUGGUCAGCCACAUUGGAACUGGGACACGGUCCAGACUCCUACGGGAGGCAGCAGUGGGGAAUAUUGGGCAAUGGGCGCAAGCCUGAUCCAGCGAUACCGCGUGGGUGAAGAAGGCCUUCCGGUUGUAAAGCCCUUUUGUUGGGAAAGAAAAGCAGCAGGUUAAUACCCCGCUGUUCUGACGGUACCCAAAGAAUAAGCACCGGCUAACUUCGUG
RNAcentral lists this ribosomal RNA (492 nucleotides) under uncultured bacterium. RNAcentral describes it as "partial 16S ribosomal RNA". It matches the Rfam family "Bacterial small subunit ribosomal RNA", at positions 29 to 507 of the family's 1533-position model. The record is from RNAcentral.